This 372-nucleotide unclassified non-coding RNA is filed under the name uncultured Flavobacteriaceae bacterium. RNAcentral describes it as "contains 16S-23S intergenic spacer region". Lineage: Bacteria; Pseudomonadati; Bacteroidota; Flavobacteriia; Flavobacteriales; Flavobacteriaceae. The record is from RNAcentral.
UCACGGUUUGCACCGGCAGUCUUGUUAGAGUUCCCGACAUUACUCGCUGGCAACUAACAACAGGGGUUGCGCUCGUUAUAGGACUUAACCUGACACCUCACGGCACGAGCUGACGACAACCAUGCAGCACCUUGUAACUUGUCUUGCGAAAGAUCUGUUUCCAAAUCGGUCAAGCUACAUUUAAGCCCUGGUAAGGUUCCUCGCGUAUCAUCGAAUUAAACCACAUGCUCCACCGCUUGUGCGGGCCCCCGUCAAUUCCUUUGAGUUUCAUUCUUGCGAACGUACUCCCCAGGUGGGUUACUUAUCACUUUCGCUUAGCCACUCAGAAUUACUUCCGAACAGCUAGUAACCAUCGUUUACGGCGUAGACUAC